RNAcentral lists this long non-coding RNA (450 nucleotides) under Lotus japonicus. RNAcentral describes it as "long non-coding RNA (LJAP_LNC001727)". Lineage: Eukaryota; Viridiplantae; Streptophyta; Magnoliopsida; Fabales; Fabaceae. The record is from RNAcentral.
GAAUAAAAAAAUCAAUAACAUUCAUUUUAAUUUCAAUUCACAUUAUAGAAAAAAUCGAAUCGAAUUUUCCGUCCGACGAAGAAAAAAUGCUGAGAAAUCUCCGGUCCCGGCGACGCCCCCGCUACGGCGGGGGGCCCGUCAGUCGUUUCAGCGCUUCUCAUCAUGCUCUCGGUAUCCGUCCUCCUCCGCUACAUCCCCCCACACCGACGCUAUCCCUCUCACGAGGUGAAUUACGACUCCCUCCUCUCCGAUUCCGCGAACGACGACGCCACCGGCGGCGAGGACACCAUCGACGCGCUCGACGUGGUGGAGGAACAACCCACGGACGCGGAAGAAGACGACGAUCCCUCAAUAGAGGAGCAGAACACCGCUACACCCCCCCACACCGACGCUAUCCCUCUCACGAGGUGAAUUACGACUCCCUCCUCUCCGAUUCCGCGAACGACGACG